RNAcentral lists this ribosomal RNA (1608 nucleotides) under Trachelomonas scabra. RNAcentral describes it as "partial large subunit ribosomal RNA". It matches the Rfam family "Eukaryotic large subunit ribosomal RNA", at positions 54 to 951 of the family's 3401-position model. The record is from RNAcentral. Lineage: Eukaryota; Euglenozoa; Euglenophyceae; Euglenales; Euglenaceae.
AGGAAGCGCAAGCAACAGCGAUUGCUGCAGUAACGGCGAGUGAAUGGGCAACAGAUUGUCUCGACCCGAAGUGAAUCCCUACCGCACUGCCUCGGCAGAUGCGUUCGGCUCUCGUGGGUUUCAGCAGAUGCUGUGGGCUAUGGAGCUGAUGGCCUGUGUUCUGCGCUGGUGAUGCACCAGGAAGCGACCUGGAAUGGUCAACGAUACAGGGAUACUGUCCCAUACUGGUGCUGUGUGCGUUGCCAGCCAGGAUGCGGCUGUUGGCAUCCAGGAGUAGAGUGGCUUGAGACUGCAGUUUGAAGUGCAAGGUGUAUCCCUUGCAAGGGAGCAUAUCGACAUGGGACCGAUAGCGCACAAGUAGAGUGAUUGAAGGAUGCAAAGGACUUUGCAAAGAGGGUUAAAAGUCCCUGAAGCCUCGGCAGGAACGGCGGAAAGUGCUGCUCUCCCUCGCGGUCUGUGUGGGACCACCAGCUACAUCGGCCUUGGCCAUGGCGUCUGCGGACGACCUGGCGGUUGAUAGCGUGGCUGGUGGACGACCACCCACCUGACCCACUGCCACACCUCGUGUGUGCGCAGCGAAUGUGAAUCCAAGUGACCUUGGGCCAGCCCAGGGCUGGCCACUGAGCUCCGUUCACACCAGGAUGGAACGCAAUCGUGGCAGUCUGUGGUGACACUCAGCGUGUCAGGGCCUGAGGCUUGCAGAGAGAUACCUCCAGCGAAUGGCUGUGUGCCAAGAGCGAUGCUUGAAUGGUGCAGCACAAAGUGUAUCUGUGAUGAGCAAUGCAGCAGCAGCACAACGUGUGUGUGUGCCCCAGAUGGAUACCUCAGUCGAGGCGUGGGCUCAACGAUGUUGAUGUUCGCUCAGCAGCAGAGCAACAAGCAUGGAGAAUUGUGUGUAGCCUGAGAGCAGAGCCAUUAUGAUGCAGCGCGAUGCCGCGCCUGUUGUUGUGUUCGGACAUCGCAGGUGUGCCGUGCCUGGACAUGGAUCAGUGGCUGGUGGACGCAUGGGGCUGCACCGCUCUGACGGUGGCUCCUGUGUGACUACCUUCCACCCAGACGGUGUACGGUGCAAAGGCAGCUGAGCUUGGUGAAUGAGUGACGCUCUCUGCCCGUCUUGAAACACGGACCAAGGAGUCUAUGGAGCUUGCCAGUUCGUCGGUGAUUGUUGCAAACCACAGGGCGUGGUGAAGGCAACUUGUCUCAGAUGGUGCAUGGAUGUUCAAUCAACGCUGAGAGAUCGCAGAUCGCACGUGUGUGUGUGCUCACACUGAGCCCAGCUUGUGGCCAACUGGGUAUGUGGAAUCGUCUGUGCCUGGCAAGCACAACAAGUCUGUGGAAUCGUGUGAUGCACAUCAGCACCACGUGUUGUUGUCUCGAGAUCAAGGCUGAAACUUCCGUGUGAAUGCUGCAUGGGACACCGGUCCCGAAGUCCAGUGGACAGGGUUCUGAGUGAUUGCAAGGUCCAUGGGACCCGAAAGGUGGUGAACUAUACCGUUCCAUGUCGAAGCCGUGGGAAACUGCGGUGGAGGACAGUCGCUGUUCUGACGUGCAAAUUGUGUAGCCUGAGUGCGGCAUAGGGGUGAAAGGCCAAUCGAGCCACCUAGUAGC